CACGGAAAGGCGAAAUGAGGAGGACAUUAUCGAGUUUUGAAAGGGGUUGUAGCUGGCCUUCUUUGGCACCGUGCACGCCCUGCUCAUCCACUCUACACCUGUGCACUCACUGUAGGUUUCAAAGGUGACGCGAGUUUCGGCUCGUGGAGCUUUUGGGCUUACGUUUCACUAUAAACGCUUUAGUAUCAGAAUGUGUAUCGCGAUGUAACGCAUCUAUAUACAACUUUCAGCAACGGAUCUCUUGGCUCUCGCAUCGAUGAAGAACGCAGCGAAAUGCGAUAAGUAAUGUGAAUUGCAGAAUUCAGUGAAUCAUCGAAUCUUUGAACGCACCUUGCGCUCCUUGGUAUUCCGAGGAGCAUGCCUGUUUGAGUGUCAUGAAAUUCUCAACCUAUGAGCCUUUGCGGGUUUGUAGGAUUGGACUUGGAGGUCUGUCGGCUUGCGUCGGCUCCUCUCAAAUGCAUUAGCUCGAUUCCUUGUGGAUCGGCUCUCGGUGUGAUAGUUUUUUGCGCCGCGACCGUGAAGCGUUUGGCGAGCUUCUAAUGGUCUCUUAGGAGACAAUGAAACUGAACUCUGACCUCAAAUCAGGUAGGACUACCCGCUGAACUUAAGCAUAUCAAUA
The sequence is a ribosomal RNA, 619 nucleotides long. The stretch from base 222 to 375 matches the Rfam family "5.8S ribosomal RNA".